GAUUGGUAUGUGGCCUCCCACAACUGUAGCUGGCCUGGUGGAUGACCCAGCUACUGUGUCUAUAAUAAGUAAAUAAUAAAAUUAAAUUAAUUAAAAUAUAUAUAUAAGAGUUUUUAUAGUUUCAGUGAAGAGUUUUGGUAUAGAUUUCUUACCGAUCUAUCGAUCACAACAUGUGUGCUGAUGGAGCUAUCCGUGUGCUUGAUCGGAUCC
This 210-nucleotide long non-coding RNA is filed under the name Elaeis guineensis (African oil palm). RNAcentral's name for it is "long non-coding RNA (EGUI_LNC015118)". The record is from RNAcentral. Lineage: Eukaryota; Viridiplantae; Streptophyta; Magnoliopsida; Arecales; Arecaceae.